Molecule: long non-coding RNA, 1194 nt
Filed under: Chrysemys picta bellii (western painted turtle)
Lineage: Eukaryota; Metazoa; Chordata; Testudines; Emydidae
Description: lncRNA (ENSCPBG00000005078.1)
Source: RNAcentral
CCUCCCGCCUUUUUCCCCAGAAAAAAAAACAAGUAAGGGCCCCCCUGCUCUGCUCUUAUCUAAACAACCAGGACCUUCUUGGUUUUUUUCCACUCUGUAACAAAAGCUGGCCAACACAUAAUAUAAACCAUUUUAAUAUGUGUUUUUAAAGUAAUAACAAUGUAAAAUAAUAAAAAGAUAACCAAAAACAACCCUCAUGGCCUGUAAGUUGUGCAAAAAGCUUUAAAAGCCAGGGUUCAGUUACAACCCAUGCCAACUGUGACUUUUUAAAAAAGGGUUAGAGCAUAAUAUGAAAAAAAAAUUAAAACCCACAGUAAAACACAAAACACAGCAACUUUUUUAACAAUGUAAAAUAAGACUUGUAGGGGUUUUUAGUAAUAAGUUUAACAGGGAUUAUUUUUAAAUGAGCAAACUUGUUUUAAAAAGCCAAGGACAUAACAUUAAUUAAAGAAUACAGGUUGCAGCUUUUAAAGACUUCUGGUUACAGAGAUGUUAAUGGGUAUAUUACCAUUUACAGUGUCUUUUUAUUAACUGUUUAAACACAUUCACUAUAGAAAAUAAGAAUUUUUUAACCAUUAAAGUUUAAAGAAGCUAAAGUAUAUAGCCACAUGCCCCCCUCCCCCAACACACACACCUACCCACCUUUUUUCCUAGAAAAAAUUACCUUUACACACCCUGGUUUUUUGAAGAAACUCCUUUUUAAAUAUUAAUUUUUAGGGGGCCCGAAGACCUUUUUUUCCCAACAGGUUUAAACCUAUAACUAGGGACAGAAAACUGGACAAUGCUGUCAAAGAAAUAUUGCUGAUACAAGACUUCUACCGUUAUGGGGAGCAACGACAUGGAUGAGGCCUUUUUUCUUGACCUAUCAGAUUCUGCACUAGAAUGUUUAAAUUUUGGUAAGCUAAUUAAUAUGCUACACAAUUAUGGUUUAUUUUUAAAAGAAAUGGUUUUAAGGAUUUAAUUUUUUAAAUUUAGAACAAGAUGGAAGUCAAAACCAGUGCACUCCAGAUAGUUUUUCCUGAGAUUACAGACGAUGGUAUGAACUGUUUUUUAAAUACGUGUUUGAAAUAACUGUUAUUGGAAAUAGUGUACAUUUUUUUAGGGGUUGUGCAUUAACACAGGUAUUGGGGUUUAUGUUUGUUGUUGUUAGUAAAAAAAAGAGGCUGCCUUUGCCCCAAAGGUUUUACUGUAAAA